AUGAAUAUAAGAACUGGAGUCCAUUUGGAUCCUGCCAGGGGCUCCUGUGGAUCCCUGGGGUACCAACACUUGGAUAACUCCCCGCUCAGUGCCAUCCCCGGCCACAGUGGUCUGUCACUCUGCUACACCGAGCCUUGCGCAUGCAGCCAUGCACCCCACUCCUCUCACCACGUUCAUGCAUCCACACAUACUGCAUACUGCGCUGCACAGACUCGCACCUCCCACUGCGAGUGUGCACUGUGCGCACACACCGCGCAUUGCACACACACACAUCACACUGCAUGCCACACUGCACAAACUCACUGCUUCCACUGGGCACACUGCUCGCGCACACAUUACAUUGCAUACCACACUGCACAGCUCAAACUUCGCGCGGUGACCAUGCACUGUGUGCACAUACCUCGCGCUGCAUGCUGCCGUGCAAAGCCUCAUGGGUCACGCUGCGUGCACAUACCUCAUACGGUGUACAACACUGCAAGUGUGCACGCACCUCACUUUGCCUACGUGAACUGCACGCACACCUCACCCUGCACGUGCAGCAUGCCUAUACACACCUCACACUCCAUACGUGCACUAAAUACAUGCACACUUUGCACUCAGUACGUGCACUGCAUGCACACACCUCACACCACUCUGCACAUACACACACCUCGCACUGCACACAUGCACUGCAUGAACAUACAGUUCACGCUGCAUGCUCCUAUAUGUACACACCUCACACCACUUACAACCACACCAGCACAGCUGUGCCAGCUGCACCCCCUCCCCAACUCCCAAGCUACUUGCUCGCACAAGCAAGUGUGCCACCACCUCUGUGCCACCCUCCCUGGCAUGCUCCCAGCGUACCCACAAGUGUCUCCACCGCUGCCCCCACUCUGCAGGACAGCAUCCGCCAGGACAGCAUUUCCCGUGACCCCAGCCGGUAGGGACGGGUUGCCUGGCCUGUGUGGCACGGGUGGGUGCCAGCACCUCCCUCCGAGCCGUGAGGAUGCCAGCAGUCCUCCUUCCUCCCCACUCCCCCUCCUAAGCUGCAUUUCUGCCUGCAGUGCAGGCUCGGCAGCCUCCUGUGCAGGCAUCAUUUGCUGUGGUGUCCCCCCCGACCUGGGCCAGAGCCCCUUACCCUGGGCCACCCUGGCCAGCAGCACUUCCAGCUGCAUCAGCUGUGCAAGCACCCAGCCCAAAUCAGUGCUGGCAUCCUCCUGGGCAUCGACUUACCGCUGCAGGUAA
This 1227-nucleotide long non-coding RNA is filed under the name Apteryx haastii (Great spotted kiwi). Its description in RNAcentral is "lncRNA (ENSAHAG00000002271.1)". The record is from RNAcentral. Lineage: Eukaryota; Metazoa; Chordata; Aves; Apterygiformes; Apterygidae.